RNAcentral lists this ribosomal RNA (415 nucleotides) under uncultured bacterium. RNAcentral describes it as "bacterial SSU rRNA". It matches the Rfam family "Bacterial small subunit ribosomal RNA", at positions 30 to 446 of the family's 1533-position model. The record is from RNAcentral.
AUUGAACGCUGGCGGCAUGCCUUACACAUGCAAGUCGAACGGCAGCACGGGAGCUUGCUCCUGGUGGCGAGUGGCGAACGGGUGAGUAAUACAUCGGAACGUACCCUGAAGUGGGGGAUAACGUAGCGAAAGUUACGCUAAUACCGCAUAUUCUGUGAGCAGGAAAGAGGGGGAUCGCAAGACCUCUUGCUUUAGGAGCGGCCGAUGUCGGAUUAGCUAGUUGGUGAGGUAAAGGCUCACCAAGGCGACGAUCCGUAGCGGGUCUGAGAGGAUGAUCCGCCACACUGGGACUGAGACACGGCCCAGACUCCUACGGGAGGCAGCAGUGGGGAAUUUUGGACAAUGGGCGCAAGCCUGAUCCAGCCAUGCCGCGUGAGUGAAGAAGGCCUCGGUUGUAAGCUCUUCGUGGGAGAAU